This 231-nucleotide ribosomal RNA is filed under the name uncultured bacterium. Its description in RNAcentral is "partial 16S ribosomal RNA". It matches the Rfam family "Bacterial small subunit ribosomal RNA", at positions 99 to 334 of the family's 1533-position model. The record is from RNAcentral.
CGGACGGGUGAGUAAUGUCUGGGAAACUGCCUGAUGGAGGGGGAUAACUACUGGAAACGGUAGCUAAUACCGCAUAACGUCGCAAGACCAAGAGGGGGACCUUCGGGCCUCUUGCCAUCGGAUGUGCCCAGAUGGGAUUAGCUAGUAGGUGGGGUAACGGCUCACCUGGGCGACGAUCCCUAGCUGGUCUAAGAGGAUGACCAGCCACACUGGAACUGAGACACGGUCCAG